RNAcentral lists this transfer RNA (72 nucleotides) under Camelus bactrianus (Bactrian camel). It matches the Rfam family "tRNA". Rfam says of the family: Transfer RNA (tRNA) molecules are approximately 80 nucleotides in length. RNAcentral also lists the same sequence under 1 other name. The record is from Rfam by way of RNAcentral. Lineage: Eukaryota; Metazoa; Chordata; Mammalia; Artiodactyla; Camelidae.
GCGGGUAUCACUCAGUGGUACAGCGUGUGCAUUGUGUGCACGAGGCCCUGGGUUCAAUCCCCACUACCUCCA